Oncorhynchus gorbuscha (pink salmon) is the source of this 593-nucleotide long non-coding RNA. RefSeq lists it as uncharacterized. NCBI's taxonomy places the organism in Eukaryota, Metazoa, Chordata, Actinopteri, Salmoniformes, Salmonidae. The record is from RefSeq and is a predicted model, not a curated record. The transcript has 2 exons.
ACAGUAGUGAGGCUAUAAAAGUAGCGAGGCUACAUACAGACACUGGUUAGUCAGGCUGAUUGAGGUAGUAGGUAGAUAUGGUUGAGGUGAAUAUGCAUAUAUGAUGAGAGAGUAGCAGUAGCGAAGAGGGGUUGGUUGGUAAGCGGGACACAAUGCAGAUAGCCCGGUUAGCCAAUGUGCGGGAGCACUGGUUGAUCGGCCCAAUUGAGGUAGUAUGUACAUGAAUGUAUGUAUAGUUAAAGUGACUAUGCAUAUGAUAAACAGAGUAGCAGCAGUGUAAAAAAGAGGGGUUGGAGGGGGGGCACACAAUGCAAAUAGUCCAGGUAGCCAUUUGAUUACCUGUUCAGGAGUCUUAUGGCUUGGGGGGUAAAAACCGUUGAGAAGCCUUUUUGUCCUAGACUUGGCGCUCCUGUGCCACUUGCCAUGUGGUAGUAGAGAGAACAGUCUAUGGCUGGAGUCUUUGACAAUUUUGAAACAAAUAUGUAUAUGAUACCUUGAAAUGAUGAUUAUAUAAUUGCAAAAGGCCAGAUAUUUUGACAAACUUUCUCUCUGUGAAAUGUUAUAAUCAAAGGGAAAUAAAUAACUAACUCCUA